RNAcentral lists this ribosomal RNA (484 nucleotides) under uncultured bacterium. RNAcentral describes it as "bacterial SSU rRNA". It matches the Rfam family "Bacterial small subunit ribosomal RNA", at positions 29 to 507 of the family's 1533-position model. The record is from RNAcentral.
AUGAACGCUAGCGGCAGGCUUAAUACAUGCAAGUCGAGGGGCAGCGCAGUGUAGCAAUACAUGGGCGGCGACCGGCAAACGGGUGCGUAACACGUACGCAACCUUCCCGUUACUGUGGGAUAGCCCAGGGAAACUUGGAUUAAUACCACACAUUGCCAUUGGGAGGCAUCUCUUGAUGGCCAAAGAAUUUCGGUAACGGAUGGGCGUGCGGUUGAUUAGGUAGUUGGCGGGGUAACGGCCCACCAAGCCUACGAUCAAUAGCUGAUGUGAGAGCAUGAUCAGCCACACGGGCACUGAGACACGGGCCCGACUCCUACGGGAGGCAGCAGUAAGGAAUAUUGGGCAAUGGACGAAAGUCUGACCCAGCCAUGCCGCGUGAAGGAUGAAGGUCCUCUGGAUUGUAAACUUCUUUUUUCUGGGGAGAAAUGCAUCUUUUCUAAGGUGUUUGACGGUACCAGAAGAAUAAGCACCGGCUAACUCCGUG